GGUGGGGACGGAAGGGAGGGACACAGGAAGAGGGAAGAGAAGAAAGUCCUGCAGGCUUGAAGCGAAGAGGCUUGCGGUGGAAAAGACAACGCUCUUUCUCCAGGGUCCGGCUAAGCCAGUUCAAGGGCACCCUCGGCUUCUUGAGACCCUGGGCAGUGAGGAGGGAAGGAAUUAUGGGCACCGACCACAGUGCUGGGGAUUGAAUCUAGGGCCUCUUGCAAGCAAGGCAAGGGCUCCGUCACUGAACUACAGCCCCGUGCGCCCUCCCCCAGAGGACCCAGAUUUGAUUCCCAGUGCCCACAUGGUGCCUCACAACCAACUGUAACUCCAGUUCCAGGGUAUCUGAUGCCUUCUUCUGAUUUCCACAGGAACGAACAGCAGGCUCCAAGCAAAACACACCUUUCCUUUAUAUACAGCAUAGUUCUCAUUUCUCUGCGGGUGAAAGUCUUGCUCAGCCUUCAAGCUAUAAUUCAGAUAC
Peromyscus californicus insignis is the source of this 478-nucleotide long non-coding RNA. RefSeq lists it as uncharacterized. The transcript is spliced from 5 exons. The record is from RefSeq and is a predicted model, not a curated record. Lineage: Eukaryota; Metazoa; Chordata; Mammalia; Rodentia; Cricetidae.